CCUACGGGAGGCAGCAGUGGGGAAUUUUCCGCAAUGGGCGAAAGCCUGACGGAGCAACGCCGCGUGGAGGAAGAAGACCUUCGGGUUGUAAACUCCUUUCAGUCCGGAUGAAGCCCCGAUGUCCAUCGGGGUGACAGUACGGACAGAAGAAGCCCCGGCUAACUACGUGCCAGCAGCCGCGGUAAUACGUAGGGGGCGAGCGUUGUCCGGAUUUAUUGGGCGUAAAGAGCGCGUAGGCGGCUUAUCAAGUCAGGUGUGAAAUCCUCAGGCUUAACCUGAGAAUUGCACUUGAAACUGAUAGGCUAGAGUCCAGUAGAGGAGAGUGGAAUUCCCGGUGUAGCGGUGAAAUGCGCAGAGAUCGGGAAGAACACCAGUGGCGAAGGCGGCUCUCGGGUCUGAGACUGACGCUGAGGCGCGAAAGCUAGGGGAGCGAACAGGAUUAGAUACCCCGGUAGU
This 456-nucleotide ribosomal RNA is filed under the name uncultured Actinomycetes bacterium. Its description in RNAcentral is "uncultured actinobacterium partial 16S ribosomal RNA". It matches the Rfam family "Bacterial small subunit ribosomal RNA", at positions 338 to 794 of the family's 1533-position model. The record is from RNAcentral. Lineage: Bacteria; Bacillati; Actinomycetota; Actinomycetes.